GACAUAGACUGGCAGAUUGGAUUAAAAAAAGACCCAAUAAUAUGCUGCCUCCAAGCGACUCAUCUCAUAGGAAAAGAUAUACACAGACUAAUGGUAAAAUGUUGGAAAAAAUAAUUCCACUCACAUGGUCUGUGGAAAUAAACAGGGGUUUACAUCCUCAUAUCAAGUAAAGUAGACUUCAAGCCAAAGUUAAUCAAAAGGGAUAAAGAAGAACAUUUCAUACUGCUCAAGGGAACAAUACACCAACAUGACAUAACAAUUAUAAAUAUAUAUGCCCCUAACAAUGAAUCAUCUAUGUUCAUCAAACAAACUCUUCUCAAGUUCCAGAGUCAAAUUGACUAUAACUCAAUAAUUCUGGGUGAAUUUAAAGUACCUCUUUCACCACUGGAUAGAUGUUCCAAACAAAAGCUGAACAAAGAAACUAUAGAACUCAAUAAUAUAAUCAUUAACUUAGACUUAGCUGACAUAUACAGAAUAUUUCACCCAUCAAUGAGGGAAUAAACUUUUUUUCUCAGCAGUACAUGAUCCUUCUCUAAAAUAGACCAUAUAUUAUGCCACUAAGCAACUCUUCACAAAUAUGGAAAAAAGUAGAGAUAUUAUGCUGCAUUCUAUCAUAUCAUAAUGGAAAAAAAUUAAAAAUCAAUAAUAAAGUAAAAAAAAGGUACUACAACACCUGGGGACUAAAGAAUAAGCUAUUGAGUGAAGAAUGGGUUGCAAAAGACAUCAGAGAAGAUUAAAAAAUUCUUAGAGGAAAAUGAGAACACUGAUACAACAUAUUGAAAUCUCUGGUACACUGUGAAGCUAAUACUAAGAGGAAAGUUCAUUGCUUGGAGUUUAGUCCUGAAAAGAAAAAAAAGUCAUCAAAUAAAUGACCUAACAUUACAUCUUAGAAAGCCCUAGAAAAAGAAGAACAAAUCAACACCAAAAGCAGUAAAAUAAGGAAGUAAUUAAAAUAAGAGCUGAAAUCAAUGAAAUGGAAACAAAUGAAAUAAUUGAAAACAAAAUGACAAAAUAAAAGUUGAUUCUUUGAAAAAAAUAAUUAAAAGUGAUAAACCCUUAGCCAUGCUAAUGAAGAAAAGGAGAGAGAAAACUCAAAUUACUAACAACCAUGAUGAAAAAGGAAAUAUCACAACAGACACUACAGAAAUACAGAAG
Molecule: long non-coding RNA, 1155 nt
Filed under: Marmota monax (woodchuck)
Lineage: Eukaryota; Metazoa; Chordata; Mammalia; Rodentia; Sciuridae
Source: RNAcentral